CUUGCCAGGGAACUACGAGCCCCAGCUUAAAACCCAAAGGACUUGGCGGUGCUUUAGACCCCCCUAGAGGAGCCUGUUCUAGAACCGAUAACCCCCGUUUAACCUCACCCUCCCUUGUUUUCCCCGCCUAUAUACCGCCGUCGUCAGCUUACCCUAUGAAGGACUAACAGUGAGCUCAAUUGGCACAGCCUAAAACGUCAGGUCGAGGUGUAGCGUACGAGAGGGGAAGAAAUGGGCUACAUUCACUGAACCAGUGCACACGAACAGUGCCUUGAAAUCAGGCAUUUAAAGGAGGAUUUAGCAGUAAGAUGGAGAAUAGAGUGCUCCUCUGAAAACGGCCCUGAAGCGCGCACACACCGCCCGUCACUCUCCCCAAAGAUACCCCAACUAUAGUUAAAAAGAUUUUUCGACAAAGGGGAGGCAAGUCGUAACAUGGUAAGUGUACCGGAAGGUGCACUUGGAAAAAC
RNAcentral lists this ribosomal RNA (467 nucleotides) under Gillichthys mirabilis (long-jawed mudsucker). RNAcentral describes it as "partial 12S ribosomal RNA". It matches the Rfam family "Bacterial small subunit ribosomal RNA", at positions 868 to 1527 of the family's 1533-position model. Lineage: Eukaryota; Metazoa; Chordata; Actinopteri; Gobiiformes; Gobiidae. The record is from RNAcentral.